Molecule: ribosomal RNA, 481 nt
Filed under: Furcifer labordi
Lineage: Eukaryota; Metazoa; Chordata; Lepidosauria; Squamata; Chamaeleonidae
Description: partial 16S ribosomal RNA
Rfam family: Bacterial large subunit ribosomal RNA
Source: RNAcentral
GGAAGUACCGCCUGCCCUGUGGAACCCUAAACGGCCGCGGCAUUAAAACCGUGCAAAGGUAGCACAAUCACUUGUCCCUUAAAUGAGGACGCGUAUGAAAGGCAACAUGAGAGAAGACCUGUCUCCUAAGGAAUGCCAAUGAAAUUGAACUACCAGUUCAAAAGCUGGUAUAAAAAAGCAAGACAAAAAGACCCUGUGGAACUUUAAUUAACUGCUUUACAUAACAUAAACCAGCAAUUUUAGUUGGGACAACUUUAGAAAAAAUAAACUUCCUAAUUUUAAUAGACCAACAAGUCAAAAACAUAAUGACCCAGUAAUACUGAUUAACGAAACAAGCUACCCCAGGGAUAACAGCGCUACCUUCUCAAAGAGUUCAUAUCAACAAGAAGAUCUACGACCUCGAUGUUGGAUCAGGAUACCCAGACGGUGCAGCAGCUGUCAAUGGUUCGUUUGUUCAACGAUUAAUACCCUACGUGAUCUG